AGCCCGCUCGCCGGAAGACCAAGGGUUCCUGUCCAACGUUAAUCGGGGCAGGGUGAGUCGACCCCUAAGGCGAGGCCGAAAGGCGUAGUCGAUGGGAAACAGGUUAAUAUUCCUGUACUUGGUGUUACUGCGAAGGGGGGACGGAGAAGGCUAUGUUGGCCGGGCGACGGUUGUCCCGGUUUAAGCGUGUAGGCUGGUUUUCCAGGCAAAUCCGGAAAACCAAGGCUGAGGCGUGAUGACGAGGCACUACGGUGCUGAAGCGACAAAUGCCCUGCUUCCAGGAAAAGCCUCUAAGCAUCAGGUAACAUCAAAUCGUACCCCAAACCGACACAGGUGGUCAGGUAGAGAAUACCAAGGCGCUUGAGAGAACUCGGGUGAAGGAACUAGGCAAAAUGGUGCCGUAACUUCGGGAGAAGGCACGCUGAUAUGUAGGUGAAGCGACUAGCUCGUGGAGCUGAAAUCAGUCGAAGAUACCAGCUGGCUGCAACUGUUUAUUAAAAACACAGCACUGUGCAAACACGAAAGUGGACGUAUACGGUGUGACGCCUGCCCGGUGCCGGAAGGUUAAUUGAUGGGGUUAGCGGUAACGCGAAGCUCUUGAUCGAAGCCCCGGUAAACGGCGGCCGUAACUAUAACGGUCCUAAGGUAGCGAAAUUCCUUGUCGGGUAAGUUCCGACCUGCACGAAUGGCGUAAUGAUGGCCAGGCUGUCUCCACCCGAGACUCAGUGAAAUUGAACUCGCUGUGAAGAUGCAGUGUACCCGCGGCAAGACGGAAAGACCCCGUGAACCUUUACUAUAGCUUGACACUGAACAUUGAGCCUUGAUGUGUAGGAUAGGUGGGAGGCUUUGAAGUGUGGACGCCAGUCUGCAUGGAGCCGACCUUGAAAUACCACCCUUUAAUGUUUGAUGUUCUAACGUUGGCCCGUAAUCCGGGUUGCGGACAGUGUCUGGUGGGUAGUUUGACUGGGGCGGUCUCCUCCUAAAGAGUAACGGAGGAGCACGAAGGUUGGCUAAUCCUGGUCGGACAUCAGGAGGUUAGUGCAAUGGCAUAAGCCAGCUUGACUGCGAGCGUGACGGCGCGAGCAGGUGCGAAAGCAGGUCAUAGUGAUCCGGUGGUUCUGAAUGGAAGGGCCAUCGCUCAACGGAUAAAAGGUACUCCGGGGAUAACAGGCUGAUACCGCCCAAGAGUUCAUAUCGACGGCGGUGUUUGGCACCUCGAUGUCGGCUCAUCACAUCCUGGGGCUGAAGUAGGUCCCAAGGGUAUGGCUGUUCGCCAUUUAAAGUGGUACGCGAGCUGGGUUUAGAACGUCGUGAGACAGUUCGGUCCCUAUCUGCCGUGGGCGCUGGAGAACUGAGGGGGGCUGCUCCUAGUACGAGAGGACCGGAGUGGACGCAUCACUGGUGUUCGGGUUGUCAUGCCAAUGGCACUGCCCGGUAGCUAAAUGCGGAAGAGAUAAGUGCUGAAAGCAUCUAAGCACGAAACUUGCCCCGAGAUGAGUUCUCCCUGAGACUUAGAGUCUCCUGAAGGAACGUUGAAGACGACGACGUUGAUAGGCCGGGUGUGUAAGCGCAGCGAUGCGUUGAGCUAACCGGUACUAAUGAACCGUGAGGCUUAACC
RNAcentral lists this ribosomal RNA (1618 nucleotides) under Escherichia coli. RNAcentral's name for it is "bacterial LSU rRNA". It matches the Rfam family "Bacterial large subunit ribosomal RNA", at positions 1327 to 2925 of the family's 2925-position model. Lineage: Bacteria; Pseudomonadati; Pseudomonadota; Gammaproteobacteria; Enterobacterales; Enterobacteriaceae. The record is from RNAcentral.